Molecule: long non-coding RNA, 4428 nt
Organism: Musa acuminata AAA Group (dessert banana)
Lineage: Eukaryota; Viridiplantae; Streptophyta; Magnoliopsida; Zingiberales; Musaceae
Exons: 4
Source: RefSeq, a predicted model, not a curated record
ACAUCCCGUGGGCGGGAAGGCCUAAUGCUCGUCUUAUUUCGCCUUAACCCGACUGCCUCGACCUCCUUCGCAACCCUAAGAAGGAUGCCUCCUUCCUUGCCGAGAUGGCCGACUUCCUCCGAAGCGCCCCCGCCGUCGCCUUGCAACCCUCUCUCGAUUAUGCCUUGUUCCUUUUUCUCCUUUUGCUCGAUGCGGCGGUGCAGUGUAGAGAAGAGAAGAAGGCUGACUCGGAUGGGGGUUUUGGGAGUGGCGGUGCCCCAUUAGGUGGGCAUGCGAUCGGUGAUUCUGCGGCAGAAGGGAUGCUAAUGUGCCUACAAGAACUUUGAAAGAAAUGCCAUCUUGGGUCUGUGAAUCAGAUCAUGAAUUUAUUAACGAUGAUGAAGGGGAGGGCUAAUAUGGAAACAUCAUCAUAUGCAAUCGUCAGAAUGAAGAACCACAUAAAGUGUUCAGCUCCAAAUUGUACAGGAUGGCUGCUUUACUCCAUUUGGCUGCUUCAAUGCUACCUGUUUUUUCGAACCUCAUCAAGAUCAUGCAAAAUGUUGAGGUUCCUGAUAGAAACCAUCCUUAUUCUGAUUGUGAACAAUAUUCAGAUCAUGAAUUUAUUAACGAUGAUGAAGGGGAGGGCUAAUAUGGAAACAUCAUCAUAUAUAAUCGUCAGAAUGAAGAACCACCUAAAGUGUUCAGCUCCAAAUUGUACAGGUAACACUUCUCUCAUAAUAGCAAUAUUCUUCUCAGCUGUUCCUUUACAUUUGAUAUUGACUAUAGUAUUGCAUACUGACUGGGCUUAUGAUUUCCUACUAUUUGGCUGGGCCAUUCAGUAAUUAUCACCUAAAAUCUGUAUAUAACUGCUUCAUCGAGGCCUACCAAAUCGGUUUUCCUUGAAAGUCUUAAUCGUUUGCUACAUAUUUACAAAUGUAUAAAUAUAAUUUCACAAGCCCUCUUGUAUAUGCCUUUGUGCUGCCUUGUAAUUUGAGUUGUGUGUGGUGUGUGUGUGUUAUGUACGUUAUGUGUGUGUGUUGUAUGUAUUAUAUUUGUGGGUGUGUCGUGAGUUGUGUGUGUGUUAUGAGUUGUGUGUGUGUGUUGUGUGUUGUGUGUUGUGUGUUGUGUAUGAUGUGUGUGUGUUGUGUGUUGUUUGUUGUUUGUGAUGUGUUGUGUGUGUGUGUUGUGUUUGUCUGUGUGUGUUGUGACUUGUGUGUGUGUUGUGUGUUGUGUAUGUUACGUCUGUGUGUUGUGUGUUGUGUGUGUUAUAAAUUCUGUGUGUGAUGUGUGUGGGUGUUGUGUGUUGUUUGUUGUGUAUAGUGUGUGUGUUUUAUGUGUGAGUGUUAUGAGUUUUGUGUGUGUGUGCUGUGUGUUGUGUUUGAGUGUAGUUGUGUUUAUACGUGUUAUGUGUGUGUGGGUAUUGUGUGUUGUUUGUUGUGUAUAUGUGAGUGUGUUAUGUGAGUCUGUUGUGUGUAUAAGUCUAUGUUGUGUGCAUGUGUGAGUUGUUUUUGUGUAUGUGUAUUGUGAGUUGUUUAUAUGUUACGAGUGUUGUGUGUGUUGUGUUAUGAGUGUUGUGUGUGGGUGUUGUGUAUUAUUUGUCGUGUAUGUGUGCGGGUAUUGUGUUUGUGUAUAUGUGCUGUGUUGUGUGUAAGUGUAUGUGUUGGGUAUGUUAUAUGUGUAUUUGUUAUGUGUUGUGUGUGUAUGUGUAUUGUGUAUGUCUUUGUGUGUUGUUUUUGUGUGUAUUGUUUAUUGUGUAUGUUAUGUGUUGUGUGUGUAUGUGUAUUGUGCUCAAUAUGCUGUUAGUCAGUUUUGAUAAUCACUUAUAUACAUGUAUAUAUUUACCAACAAUUGUGUUUUGUGUGUUCUGGCAAAUUUCUAUGAAGAGACUAUACUGUAUAUAUCUAAUUUGUGUUCUUAGAUAUAUCAGAGGUUUGUUGUAUUUGAUGCUUUCUAUUUCCAAAUUGCCUUUAUCUUGAUGUUUUAGUUUUGAAUUUUUCAUGUAAGCUUGUCAUUGCUUGUCAUUCUGCAUUUCCUCAAAAGUCAAUUUAACUUUACCUUUGGGUCUUGGAAUUUUACAUCUCACCAUCUUUUCCUGCCCUUAUUGUUUGUUUGGCUGCAUCAAGUAUAACAGUAGUAGAAGACCUGGGGUUCCAAGAGUCUGUUUACCAAAGGUUUUGCUUAUUUUUGAUUUUUUUUUUCCAAAAGACUUUAAUCGCUUUCUUUUAUAAGAAAUAUUUAGCUGAAAUAUUUUUUUGACUUUAACAUUUUACAUUAGAGAGAUACAUAACUAAAGUAAUUUAGCUUACAGUUUGACUUGCAUGCAUGCUUAUAUGCACUAAUAUAUAGGUGUAACUUCAAUGCUUAGUCUAAGCUCUGUGGGUAAUCAUAAUUGUUUCAUGUUUUGUUGACCCUUGUUAAGUUUCAAUUGGGAAAUCGUCAUUGUCUUGUUACUGCAAGAUGUGUUAGACAUAUUUGUACUUCUAGUGCACUUUCUGUAUCUUGUGUUAGAUAUAUAUGUGUGUGUUGUGUAUGCUAUGCGUGUGUGUUGUUAUGAGUUGUAUGUGUGUUGUGUGUGUGUGUUGUAUAUAGUGUGUUGUUAAGAUAUGUGCGUUGUGUGUAGUGUGUGUUGUUAUGAGUUAUUUGUAUAUGUGUGUAUUGUGUAUAUUAUGUGUGUGUUGUUACAAGUUUUGUGUGUAUGUGUGUGUGUUGUGUAUGUUAUGUGUUUAUGUAGUGUGUGUUAUGAGUUGCGUGUAUGUGUGUGUUGUUAAAAGAUGUGUGUGUAUGUGUUUGUGUUGUGUAUGUUAUGUGUAUAUGUAGUGUGUGUUGUGUAUGUUAUGUGUAUAUGUAGUAUGUGUUGUGUGUUUGUAUAUUGUGUUUGUGUUGUUUAUGUUAUUGUAUUGUUUUAGUGUGAGUUGUGUGUGUAGUGUGUAGUGCGUGUAGUGUGUGUGUAUUGUGUAUGUGUAGUGUAUGUUAUGUGUUGUGUGUGUAUAUGUGUAUUGUGUGUGUUAUAUUUGUGUUAUUUUCGUGUGUAUUGUUUAUUGUGUGUGUGUGUGUUGUGUGUUUGUAUAUUGUGUAUUUGUAGUGUGGUUUAUUUGUUGUGUGUAUUAUUUAUGUUAUUUUCGUGUGUGUUGUUUAUUAUGUGUGUGUAUGUUGUGUGUGUGUGUUGUUACCAGUUGUAUGUGUAUGUGUUUGUGUUAUGUAUGUUAUGUAUGUAUGAAGUAUGUGCGUAGUAUAUGUUGUGUGUAUGUAUAUUGUGUGUGUGUUGUUUGUGUUGUUAUAUUAUUUUUGUGUGUAGUGUGUGUAGUGUGUAUAUGUAUUAUGUGUUAUACGUUGUGUAUAUAUAAUGUGUAUUGUGUGUGUUGUUUGUGUUAUUUUUGUGUGUGUUGUUUAUUGUGUGUGGUUGUUGUGUGUAUUGUGUGUGUUGUGUUGUUUGUAUAUGUGUAUUAUGUGUAUUGUUUGUAUUAUUUUCUUGUGUUGUUUAUUGUGUGUGUGUUAUGUGUCUGUGUUGUGUGUAUGUGUAUUGUGUUGUGUGUAGUGUUAUGUUGUAUGUGUAUGUGUAUUGUGUAUGUAUGUAGUGCGUGUAUAGUAUGUGUUGUGUGUAUGUGUAUUGUGUGUAUGUGUAAUGUUGUGUGUAGUGUGUGUAUGUGUAGUGUGUGUUGUUUGUAUGUGUAUUGUGCAUAUGUGUAAUGUUGUGUGUAGUGUGUGUGUAGUAUGUGUUGUGUAUGUUAUGUGUGUAUAGUAUGUGUUGUAGUGUGUUGUGUGUGUGUAGUAUGUGUUGUGUAUGUUAUCGUAUUGUUUUUAUGUGUAUUGUGUGUAGUGUGUAUGUGUAUUGUGUGUAUUUGUAUUAUUUUCAUGUGUUGUGUAUUAUGUAUGUGUAGUGUGUGUUAUAUGUUGUUUGUGUUAUUUUCAUGUGUUGUUUAUCGUGUGUGUAUGUGUAUUGUGUGUGUAUGUGUUUGUGUUAUGUAUAUUAUGUUUCUAUAUAGUGUGUGUAGUAUGUGUUGUGUGUGUUGUGUGUAUUGUUUAUGUUGUUAUAUUAUUUUUGUGUGUUGUGUGUAUUGUGUUGUGUGUAUGUAUAUUGUAUGUUAUGUGUUGUGUAUAUUUAUAUGUGUAUUGUGUGUGUUGUUUGUGUUAUUUUUUGUGUGUGUUGUGUGAAUGUGUAUUGUGUAUGUGUAGUGUGUGUUAUGUGUUAUUUGUAUGUGUAUUGUGUGUAUUGUUUGUGGUAUUUUCAUAUGUGUUGUUUAUUGUGUGUGUGUUAUUUGUCUGUGUUGUGUGUAUGUGUAUUGUGUUGUGUGUGUGUAGUGUUAUAUUGUAUGUGUAUGUGUGUAUUGUGUAUGUAUAUAGUGCGUGUGUAGCAUGUGUUGUGUGUGUGUAGCGUGUAUGUAUAUUUGUAGUGUGUGUAGUGUGUGUUGUGUGUAUGUAUUAUUAGGGUUUAGGGUUUAAGGUUUAGGA